Molecule: unclassified non-coding RNA, 346 nt
Filed under: soil metagenome
Description: partial contains 5.8S ribosomal RNA, internal transcribed spacer 2, and large subunit ribosomal RNA
Rfam family: 5.8S ribosomal RNA (bases 1-120)
Source: RNAcentral
GAUGAAGAACGCAGUGAAAUGCGAUACGUAAUGUGAAUUGCAGAAUUCAGUGAAUCAUCGAGUCUUUGAACGCACAUUGCGCCCCCUGGUAUUCCGGGGGGCAUGCCUGUCCGAGCGUCAUUGCUGCCCUCAAGCACGGCUUGUGUGUUGGGCCCCGUCCUCCGAUUCCGGGGGACGGGCCCGAAAGGCAGCGGCGGCACCGCGUCCGGUCCUCGAGCGUAUGGGGCUUUGUCACCCGCUCUGUAGGCCCGGCCGGCGCUUGCCGAUCAACCCAAAUUUUUAUCCAGGUUGACCUCGGAUCAGGUAGGGAUACCCGCUGAACUUAAGCAUAUCAAUAAGCGGAGGA